CCACACACGAUCCAAGAUCGACACUUUAUUGUGAACUGUUUAAAAUGUUUUAUUGUUAAUUGAAGGUUGGUUGUUAUACUUGUAUGAUAAUGAAUUUUUAAUGACAAAUAAUAAAUAUUACACCAAAAAAAAAUUACAACUUGAAUAAUUCAAAUUGGAACUUAAAUGUUAUAUAAAAGUUUGUCUUUUAUUAUAACGCUAGAUUGAAAAUUGUAAAA
Molecule: unclassified non-coding RNA, 218 nt
Filed under: uncultured fungus
Lineage: Eukaryota; Fungi
Description: sequence contains ITS1, 5.8S rRNA gene
Source: RNAcentral